This 465-nucleotide ribosomal RNA is filed under the name uncultured bacterium. RNAcentral describes it as "partial 16S ribosomal RNA". It matches the Rfam family "Bacterial small subunit ribosomal RNA", at positions 28 to 507 of the family's 1533-position model. The record is from RNAcentral.
GAUGAACGCUGGCGGCGUGCUUAACACAUGUAAGUCGAACGGAAAGGCUCCUGCUUGCAGGGGUACUCGAGUGGCGAACGGGUGAGUAACACGUGGGUGAUCUGCCCUGCACUUCGGGAUAAGCCUGGGAAACUGGGUCUAAUACCGGAUAGGACGAUGGUUUGGAUGCCAUUGUGGAAAGUUUUUCGGUGUGGGAUGAGCUCGCGGCCUAUCAGCUUGUUGGUGGGGUAAUGGCCUACCAAGGCGUCGACGGGUAGCCGGCCUGAGAGGGUGUACGGCCACAUUGGGACUGAGAUACGGCCCAGACUCCUACGGGAGGCAGCAGUGGGGAAUAUUGCACAAUGGGCGCAAGCCUGAUGCAGCGACGCCGCGUGGGGGAUGACGGCCUUCGGGUUGUAAACUCCUUUCGCUAGGGACGAAGCGCAAGUGACGGUACCUGGAGAAGAAGCACCGGCUAACUACGUG